This is a long non-coding RNA of Musa acuminata AAA Group (dessert banana), 358 nucleotides long. RefSeq lists it as uncharacterized. The transcript is spliced from 3 exons. NCBI's taxonomy places the organism in Eukaryota, Viridiplantae, Streptophyta, Magnoliopsida, Zingiberales, Musaceae. The record is from RefSeq and is a predicted model, not a curated record.
AGGUUAUUUUCAGUGCGUGGAAAAAUAUAUGAGCUUCUCGUUAACUGUAUCCCUCCUGAAAUCAUUUUGAAGAAGUUGCUGUCAGAAUUAUUGAAGAAAUUGGACUCAGAAUUUAAGCAUGAAGUUUGUCAUUGGGCUGCAUAUUAUGGCUUAAGCUCAUAUGCGUAAUAUAAAUGAAGAAAAUUAUAAAGAAGCUCUUGAAGCCUCAUUUAAGGUGUCAAUAUCUCGAGGAAUCAGAAGUUUUUGUGUGAAACAUUUAUAAUUUUAUUUAUCGAAUGAAUUAUGUAAGUUGUAGCUUUAUGGUUCAGUUCUCCUCACCAUGGUGUGGAUGAUAUAUCUGGUCGAGCUAUAAAAUGUC